Molecule: ribosomal RNA, 669 nt
Filed under: Acinetobacter baumannii
Lineage: Bacteria; Pseudomonadati; Pseudomonadota; Gammaproteobacteria; Moraxellales; Moraxellaceae
Description: partial 23S ribosomal RNA
Rfam family: Bacterial large subunit ribosomal RNA
Source: RNAcentral
GUUGUAUAGUCAAGUAAUUAAGUGCAUGUGGUGGAUGCCUUGGCAGUCAGAGGCGAUGAAAGACGUGAUAGCCUGCGAAAAGCUCCGGGGAGGCGGCAAAUAUCCUUUGAUCCGGAGAUGUCUGAAUGGGGGAACCCACCUACUUUAAGGUAGGUAUUGCAACAUGAAUACAUAGUGUUGCAAGGCGAACGAGGGGAAGUGAAACAUCUCAGUACCCUUAGGAAAAGAAAUCAAUUGAGAUUCCCUCAGUAGCGGCGAGCGAACGGGGAUCAGCCCCUUAAGUUAUGUGUGUUUUAGUGGAACGCUCUGGGAAGUGCGAACGUAGAGGGUGAUAUUCCCGUACACGAAAGGGCACACAUAAUGAUGACGAGUAGGGCGAGGCACGUGAAACCUUGUCUGAAUAUGGGGGGACCAUCCUCCAAGGCUAAAUACUCCUGACUGACCGAUAGUGAACCAGUACCGUGAGGGAAAGGCGAAAAGAACCCCUGUGAGGGGAGUGAAAUAGAUCCUGAAACCGCAUGCAUACAAGCAGUGGGAGCACCUUCGUGGUGUGACUGCGUACCUUUUGUAUAAUGGGUCAGCGACUUAUAUUCAGUAGCAAGGUUAACCGUAUAGGGGAGCCGUAGAGAAAUCGAGUCUUAAUAGGGCGUUUAGUUGCUGGGUAUAGAC